This is a long non-coding RNA of Arabidopsis lyrata subsp. lyrata, 369 nucleotides long. RefSeq lists it as uncharacterized. The record is from RefSeq and is a predicted model, not a curated record. The transcript has 3 exons. NCBI's taxonomy places the organism in Eukaryota, Viridiplantae, Streptophyta, Magnoliopsida, Brassicales, Brassicaceae.
GUUCGUAAUUUGAAAUUUAAACAAGGUUGUGCCUGAUUUUUGUGCUUCUCUCGAAGGAACUCAAGGAGGAGGAACUCGAAACGCAUAAGAUUGGGGCAAAUCAUGAAGGAUUUCAUCUUCGUUUGAUGAUUGACUCAAGGAGGAGCAACUCGAAACGCUUGUGGUUGUUGUUACAUGUGAAUGGAUGAUAAUUUUGCAGAUGAAUAGAAUUACUGCCAAAGGGAGCGAUAUUUGAUAAGGUUCUCGAUGUUUGCUUGAUGUACUCUCUGAAUUUGGCUCAUCUUUUGUUUUUCGAGUAACAUUAAUAUGUGUCUUAGGGGCUACAUCGAGUCUUCUUUGUUCUUUAUAUGAGUCCGUUUUGUCACUUCA